GCAGCGAAGACUCUUAUCUUACACUCAAAUGGAAACUCUAACCAAGUAAAUUUGGAUCAAUUCUAUAAAUUAUGGCAGGACGAUAGGGGCCUGCUAUCUGUCUCAAAUCUCUGUCGUUUUCAAGCCCUCAUGGUGAGGAUCGCACCCAGAAGGCAAAAACACACGUAGACAUGGAUAAUUGAGUUUCAGGUUUGCUCAUGUAAGUUAGUAGUCUGCAGGCCACAAACACCAAAGCUUCCCCAUCUCCAGAGAGGAAGCUUCUUAGCUCGAAACAGAUGCCUGAGAUGAGAUUGUUACUAUCUGUUACACUUAUCACCUUACUGCUAUCAUUUCUAUUCCCUCUAUGUUCAGCCCUUGAACGUGUCUGGGUUCCAGCACAUGGAGAUUCUGGUUCUCUUACCCAACAAGAAGUGGAAACAAGCAAGGCAUCGUGGGUUCUUCAUGUUGCAGAUGCUGACAGAGAGAGAUUAAAUGCUUAUCGUUUCUUCCAUGCCCGGAAGCUUGGCGUCCACAGGAAGAGAAAGGGGCGGUUGAUACCUGGAGGCCGCACAAGAUCUUCAUCCGGAUUCCGACCAUCAGUAUCUUAUAGCCAUCUUGUUGGAGUUCAGCCAAUGAAAUCAGUGUCACCCCAAAACAAGCAUGUCCAGAGAUUUCGAAACAUCUUCUACAAGUGAAAGAACUUCAAGGUUCAAAUGAUACGAUUCCACUGGAUGGAGAAAGUAAGCCAAUAAAACAUGAGGCGAAAUUAAACCUGCAGACUGUGGAGAGAGGCAAGAAAGGAGGGAGGGGAGGAGGUGGUGGUGGUGGUAAUGAUGCGAGACCACAUAUACGAAAUAGUGCAACUUCCUUCAUGGCAAGGCCCUCUUCAUACAUCUCAACCAACCUGGUGCAAAUUUUCAUUGGAGUGCUCAUUAUUAAUUUUCUUGUCUUCUUUUGAAUAGUUGGUCUGGUUUCCUUGUUUAAAUUUGGAGAAUAGCUUCUGUGUUUCUCCUUUUGGUUAAACACUGGUAUAAUUAGUUAUCUAAUAAUCAUUCACCAAUUAGUCCUUUGGAUUUAAAAAA
Long non-coding RNA from Nelumbo nucifera (sacred lotus), 1061 nucleotides. RefSeq lists it as uncharacterized. Lineage: Eukaryota; Viridiplantae; Streptophyta; Magnoliopsida; Proteales; Nelumbonaceae. The record is from RefSeq and is a predicted model, not a curated record.